Carassius gibelio (silver crucian carp) is the source of this 1180-nucleotide long non-coding RNA. RefSeq lists it as uncharacterized. NCBI's taxonomy places the organism in Eukaryota, Metazoa, Chordata, Actinopteri, Cypriniformes, Cyprinidae. The transcript has 2 exons. The record is from RefSeq and is a predicted model, not a curated record.
AUGCUUUAUUGGGUGAUGGUUCUGCACGCUCAAUAAACAAACUCCAGUUAGUCCAAAAUGCGACAGCUAGAGUUCUUACUAGAACCAGGAAGUAUGACCAUAUUAGCCCGGUCCUGUCCACACUGCACUAGCUCCCUAUCAAACCUCAUACAGAUUUAAAAUCUUGCUUAUUACUUAUAAAGACCUGAAUGGUUUAGCCCCUCAUUAUUUGAACAAGCUAUAGUAUAGUCCUCCACAUCUGCUGCAUUCUCAAAACUCAGGCAAUUCGAUAAUACCUAAACUAUCAAAAUCAACUGCGGGCGGCAGAUCCUUUUCCUAUUUAGUGCCUAAACUCUGGAAUAACCAACAUAACAUUGUUCGGGAGGCAGUGACACUAAUUUUAAAUCUAGAUUAAAGACCCAUCUCUUUAAUCUGGCUAACACAUGACACACUAAAACCUUUCUGAUUUUCAAAUCUGUUAAAAAAAUAUAUAGGCUGCAAAACCAUGAAAACUUCCCAUAACACCCUAUGUACUUGCUACAUCAUUAGAAGUAUGGCAUCUACGCUAAUAUUUGUCUGUUUCUCUCUUGUUCCGAGGUCACUGUAGCCACCAGAUCCAGUCUGUGUCCAGAUCAGAGGGUCACUGCAGUCACCCGGAUCCAGUACGUAUCCAGACCAGAUGGUGGAUCAGCACCUAGAAAGGACCUCUACAUCCCUGAAAGACAGCGGAGACCAGGACAACUAGAGCCCCAGAUACAGAUCCCCUGUAAAGACCUUGUCUCAGAGGAGCACCAGGACAAGACCACAGGAAACAGAUGAUUCUUCUGCACAAUCUGACUUUGCUGCAGCCUGGAAUUGAACUACUGGUUUCGUCUGGUCAGAGGAGAACUGACCCCCCAACUGAGCCUGGUUUCUCCCAAGGUUUUUUUCUCCAUUCUGUCACCGAUGGAGUUUCGGUUCCUUGCCGCUGUCGCCUCUGGCUUGCUUAGUUGGGGUCACUUCAUCUACAGCGAUAUCAUUGACUUGAUUGCAAAUAAAUGCACAGACACUAUUUAAACUGAACAGAGAUGACAUCACUGAAUUCAAUGAUGAACUGCCUUUAACUAUCAUUUUGCAUUAUUGACACACUGUUUUCCAAAUGAAUGUUGUUCAGUUGCUUUGACGCAAUGUAUUUUGUUUAAAGCGCUAUAUAAAUAAAGGU